UACGUAGGGGGCAAGCGUUGUCCGGAUUUAUUGGGCGUAAAGCGCUCGCAGGUGGUUUGUCGCGUCGUGCGUGAAAGACCCCGGCUCAACUGGGGAGGGUCGUGCGAUACGGGCGAACUGGAGGCCAGUAGGGGGAUGCGGAAUUCCGGGUGUAGUGGUGGAAUGCGUAGAGAUCCGGAGGAACACCAGCGGCGAAGGCGGCAUCCUGGACUGGUCCUGACACUCAGGAGCGAAAGCGUGGGGAGCGAUCCGC
RNAcentral lists this ribosomal RNA (253 nucleotides) under uncultured bacterium. RNAcentral describes it as "partial 16S ribosomal RNA". It matches the Rfam family "Bacterial small subunit ribosomal RNA", at positions 524 to 776 of the family's 1533-position model. The record is from RNAcentral.